RNAcentral lists this non-coding RNA (29 nucleotides) under Homo sapiens (human). The record is from RNAcentral. Lineage: Eukaryota; Metazoa; Chordata; Mammalia; Primates; Hominidae.
CCUUCUGGCUACAGGAGGUGAUCCACAGA